RNAcentral lists this long non-coding RNA (754 nucleotides) under Cervus hanglu yarkandensis (Yarkand deer). RNAcentral's name for it is "lncRNA (ENSCHYG00000013401.1)". Lineage: Eukaryota; Metazoa; Chordata; Mammalia; Artiodactyla; Cervidae. The record is from RNAcentral.
CCCGUCUCCAUGGGAACGCUCUGAGUGUCCUGUCCGAGGCCUGAGGCUUUGGUUUUGGUCAAGCAGGGUGGCAGACGUUGUUUGGACGGAGUGUUUGAGUUGGUCCCUGUUCCUCUCCAGAGGCUCCGUAAGUGACGCGGACUCUCGGGAGCACCAAACCAGAAGCAGACAAGGACGAGAAGAGCUGUGGCAGAAGAGAGGGCCAGGUGUCGAGAAGCCGCUCAGGCUUAGAAAUCUCGGACUCCAGUGUAGGGACCUGUGAUCAGCAAGGGAGGACCAGAGUGGCAAAGACUAAUGCCCCCAUUUUACAGGUGAGGAAAGUGAGGUCCUAGGAGGUCUAGAAGUUUGGUCUUUUUCAGAGUUCUACAAGUGGUUGGUGGGAUUAUGAUCACGUAGUGGAAACCCUAGAUCUGGGAUCUUCUGCUAAGAUUCUGUACUCUGAUCUAAUAAUAAAUCCAGUAUUUAUGUUGUAAGAAGUGGGGUGGGAGAGGGUGAUGGAAUUAACCUUUCUACUUUACUGACUGAACAAAAUUUAAAAAAUGCUUUUAGAAAGAAGCUUUUUAAGUGUGUUGCUGUUAUUCCAAUUGUUUUUAUUUUUCUUGUUAAUUAUAAACUAGGAAAAUUUUGAUGCUCAGAGAGGUUAAAUUACAUGGAAAGCAUCUGUAUUCCUGGAGAGACUAAACUUUGAGAUCAAGUUCUAUGUUUUCAUGCCCAGGCUAGAACUGUACUUUUCUAGAUGUUCAGAAAUGAGGUC